AGUUCAAGGGACUCUGCUGUUGCGAAACAGGAGUGGGCGAGUGGGCUGGUGGUGUGCUGAGGGCGUUCUGUGAAGCGGAAGCCUUGUGUAUCCUUUGGAGGAAAGGAGCAUCAUGAGUCAAAGGGAAAUAUUUCAAAUUAAGAGACUAUGAGGAGAAACUAGACAAUUUAAGGAGUCCAUGGGAAGAAAGUCCUCCAGACUGUGCAGUGCUGUGCUUUUGAUCAAUCACAAGAAAGACAAUGGAUUCCAUCUUGGACAGAAAAAGCACCAAAGCACUAACGUCCACAAGGGCAGUGACUUUUCUUUUGUUCUAUUUUGCUGUUGUUGGUUAAUGUUCAAAUUACUGAUUUUUUUUUUUUUUUGGUCUCGGCUUAGAGAAGAAAAUGUCACAAGACCGUCAACUUCUGAUCCUGCUGUUUAUAUUGGCACAGAUGUGUGUAGGGACGCCAUCACCAGCUUAAUUUUUUGUUUUUGGUGACCUUGUGGGGGGGGUCUUCAGUUUCCUCCAGUUGAUAAGCAAGAAAAGAGGAUGAGGAUGAUUAAGGAAGCAGUUUUCUACCCAACCUUCUAAAUGUCCACAUUUCUGUUCAUUUUCCUUUGGCCAGAACUCGGUCGCAGAACCGCAAACCAACUGCAAGAAUGGCUAGAAACUAAAAACUUCUGCAUCUGAGGAUGGGAAAGAGUCUGGAGGGCUUAGUCUGCCACCUGACGUAUUGAUACGCAAUUAAAGAAGAUUUCUUUGUAUCAGACAGGGUUAUAGAGGAUACUUGGUACAAGAUUGUUAUGUGGGCAUCAGAUCAAGGCUAAAGCUUACUCUAUAUUUGAGUCUGCAUUAACUGGACAGCAGUGGAAACCUCUUUGGGCAGAAUGGCACCAGGUCUACAGUGCAGGAAGAACCAGCUUCUAUUUCCUUAGGAAAGGGUGGACUAUGUGUGGAUCAAUGCUGAGGGGAAGCUCUCCAGUCUGACUAUCUACGGUUUGGGAUGCCAAGAGAACUGAAGCCUUCGUGCUUUGGUACUAUUGUGGUCUACACAAGGCGGCCAGUGACUCUGACUUCACAAUUUGCUCUAUUAUUUUCCAGCUCAGGUGAUGGGGUGCUCUCUUUGGUCAGAGUUACCACUCUGAAGAAUGGGGACUUGUCUGAGACUACUACUCUGUCAGAAGGCCUCAACUCUGGGCCAAGCAUUGGAUCAUGGACAGCAGGAGUGAGAGGCUCAGUGCUCCAGUUCUACGCUAAGAUUUUCUGGCUUGCAAAUCUCUUGGCCUGCACAUUGGGAAGGUCUGUGUGGGUUUAAGAGGCUGCAUCCUGUGACCUUAUUUCCAGAAGAGGUUUGGUGACAAUGGUUUUUGACACCCAAGAGUGUUCCCAGAAUCUCUGUACACUCUCUUGAACUUCAUACAUACUUCGAAAAGCAAAAUUACUUUUACUUUAUUUUGAGGACAGAGCGACAAACCAUGAAACAGGAUGAUCAGAAAAAAGGAGUGAGAGUGUCCAAGAAAACGGAGAUGGGAUUCUAUAAGGUUCUUUUCUGUCCUUGUCUAUGUCCCAUGCAAAAAUCAGGCCGAAGGAAGCUUAGACUGGGAAAAGGAUUUUAAUAGUCACAAGGCAUGCCUCUUGAUGCCUUAGAUUCUUCCUCUUCA
Molecule: long non-coding RNA, 1641 nt
Filed under: Rattus norvegicus (Norway rat)
Lineage: Eukaryota; Metazoa; Chordata; Mammalia; Rodentia; Muridae
Description: long non-coding RNA NONRATT033967
Source: RNAcentral